This 344-nucleotide unclassified non-coding RNA is filed under the name soil metagenome. RNAcentral describes it as "partial contains 5.8S ribosomal RNA, internal transcribed spacer 2, and large subunit ribosomal RNA". The stretch from base 1 to 119 matches the Rfam family "5.8S ribosomal RNA", at positions 35 to 154 of the family's 154-position model. The record is from RNAcentral.
GAUGAAGAACGUAGUGAAAUGCGAUACGUAAUGUGAAUUGCAAAUUCAGUGAAUCAUCGAGUCUUUGAACGCACAUUGCGCCCCCUGGUAUUCCGGGGGGCAUGCCUGUCCGAGCGUCAUUGCUGCCCUCAAGCACGGCUUGUGUGUUGGACCCCGUCCUCCGAUCCCGGGGGACGGGCCCGAAAGGCAGCGGCGGCACCGCGUCCGGUCCUCGAGCGUAUGGGGCUUUGUCACCCGCUCUGUAGGCCCGGCCGGCGCUUGCCGAUCAACCCAAAUUUUUAUACAGGUUGACCUCGGAUCAGGUAGGGAUACCCGCUGAACUUAAGCAUAUCAAUAAGCGGAGA